Long non-coding RNA from Lagopus muta (rock ptarmigan), 1054 nucleotides. RefSeq lists it as uncharacterized. NCBI's taxonomy places the organism in Eukaryota, Metazoa, Chordata, Aves, Galliformes, Phasianidae. The transcript is spliced from 4 exons. The record is from RefSeq and is a predicted model, not a curated record.
CUCAGGGGAGCUCAGGUGUAUGCAAUGCAUCUGAGUGACUGGAAGAGGUGGAACCAGGAUCCACCCCAUCCCAGACUUCAUUUAAGAGUUGGCAGAGGAGACAAGAGGAGCCCUCUGGUCCUUCUAUCUGAGGCUUUCUAAAGAUCAUGAAUAACACCUGAAUUACAGUCACCACCAAAGUAGAAGCUCAAAUUCACUAAGGAGCAAAGGGUGCUAGGCUUGCUGAUCUAGAAAAAAGGUCUGGGGAAAGAAAUAAGAGAUAGCUUACCACGAAUGUUAACCGUAGACAACCAUACUGAAGCAAGAUAAAUUGAAUCACCCUGGAAGUCAAAGAGCAUGUCUUUAUCUGCAAUUUGGAGAUGAAAUGAACCACACUUCUGGAGAAUGAUGAUGUUAAAAGUCUGAGUUUAAGGAUCUCUCAACUUGAUUGCUGUUCCACUUCCAAAGACAUAAAAAUCGUAAGCUCCUGAAAAUGGAUAUUCACAUACAAGAGUGGAGUUUUGUGUUGCUUUUCAGUUAGAUAAGUUGGUUCAUUGAGUUGCUCCACAACAGCUGUAAAAGUACAAAGAAGGGACUACUGGAGGAACAUAAAAACAUGUUUAACCAUGAUCACAUCAGCAGUGCUGUCAAAACACAGUCUGCUGCCUCAUGAGGAAUCAGACAAGUGCUUUGUCAAUUGUGCUUUAAAGCUAUUCUUUCCAAUGACGUGUACUGGAUUAUUCUGUACCAUUGUGCAAAACUGUCAAAUAACUGAAAGUGAAAAAUUCACCUGGAAACAAGUGUCACAGUACCAAUAAAAGAACAAUUAUUUAGCUCAGGUGCAAAGCCUUCUAAAAUACUAUGUGCCAAAUCUUCACUGCAGCUAAAUCCAAACUAUUUGCUGGUUCAAAAAUCAGCUGUUCUAAUUACUAAUCCAGAACUUCAGUAUCUGAUACAGUCAAUACACGCUAUCUGCUCAGAGAAAAUUUAAAAAAUGACAAACCUCACAUUGUAGAUUUCAUAAGGGCAUAAAUAGGAAUCAGUUACUUCAGUUUUUUGUUUUACUAAUGUUAGA